Molecule: ribosomal RNA, 311 nt
Filed under: Lachnospiraceae bacterium
Lineage: Bacteria; Bacillati; Bacillota; Clostridia; Lachnospirales; Lachnospiraceae
Description: bacterial SSU rRNA
Rfam family: Bacterial small subunit ribosomal RNA
Source: RNAcentral
GAACGCUGGCGGCGUGCUUAACACAUGCAAGUCGAACGAAGAGCGAUGGAAGCUUGCUUCUAUCAAUCUUAGUGGCGAACGGGUGAGUAACGCGUAAUCAACCUGCCCUUCAGAGGGGGACAACAGUUGGAAACGACUGCUAAUACCGCAUACGAUCCAAUCUCGGCAUCGAGGAUGGAUGAAAGGUGGCCUCUAUUUAUAAGCUAUCACUGAAGGAGGGGAUUGCGUCUGAUUAGCUAGUUGGAGGGGUAACGGCCCACCAAGGCGAUGAUCAGUAGCCGGUCUGAGAGGAUGAACGGCCACAUUGGGAC